Molecule: unclassified non-coding RNA, 285 nt
Filed under: uncultured fungus
Lineage: Eukaryota; Fungi
Description: partial contains 18S rRNA, ITS1, 5.8S rRNA, ITS2 and 28S rRNA
Source: RNAcentral
AAGGAUCAUUAUCGAGUUAGGGUCUCCGGCCCGACCUCCAACCCUGUGUCUACUUAACCACGUUGCUUCGGCGGGCCCGCCCCUCUGGGGGGGCCGCCGGGGGUCGACUUUCGACCUCUGGCCCGCGUCCGCCGGUGGCCUACACACAAACUCUGAUUACAAACCGUGUCGUCUGAGUUCAAACAAAAAUUAAAACAAAAACUUUCAACAACGGAUCUCUUGGUUCUGGCAUCGAUGAAGAACGCAGCUACAAGGCAUCGAUGUGGAAGUAAAAGUCGUAACAAG